Molecule: long non-coding RNA, 771 nt
Filed under: Salmo salar (Atlantic salmon)
Lineage: Eukaryota; Metazoa; Chordata; Actinopteri; Salmoniformes; Salmonidae
Description: lncRNA (ENSSSAG00000111621.1)
Source: RNAcentral
UGUUGUUGCAGUUUUAGUUCACAUUUUCUGCAAUUCUACACAUUUUGCUAAGGGGUGUCGCCCGCUCCAGGUGUCGCCCAUCUUCCCCAUUAUCCCCUGUGUAUUUGUACCUGUGUUCUCUGUUUGUCAUUGCCAGUUUUUUUUGUUUCGUCAAGCCUACCAGUGUUUUUCCCUCUGCUCCUGUCUCUCGAUUGUUCCUGUUUCCUAGUUUUCCCAGUGUUGACCAUUCUGCCUGCCCUGACCCUGAGCCUGCCUGCCGUCCUGUACCUUUGCCCCACCUUUCUGGAUUACUGACCUUUGCCUGCCCUGACCCUGAGCCUACCUGCCGUGCUGUACCUUUGCCCCACCUAUCUGGAUUACCGACCUCUGCUUGUCCUUGACCUGCUUUUUACCUGCCCCUGUUUGAUUAAUAAACUGUUGCUACUUCAACGUUGUCUGCAUCUGGGUCAUACCUGAAAGGGGAUACAUACAGUUCCAGUCAAAAGUUUGGACACACUGUCACGUCCUGACCUGAGAGAGACAUUUUAUUUCCUCUAUUUUGGUUAGGUCAGGGUGUGAUGUGGGGUGGGCAUUCAAUGUGAUGUAUUUCUUUGUGUUUGGCUGAGUAUGGUUCCUAAUCAGAGGCAGCUGUCUAUCAUUGUCUCUGAUUAGGAAUCUUACUUAGGCAGCCUUUUCCCCACCUGUAGUUGUGGGUAAUUAUUAUUUCUGUGAGUGUUUUGUGUGCACCACAGUUGCGUCACGUUUCUUUCUGUUUACCUGUUUAUUGUUUUG